Molecule: ribosomal RNA, 466 nt
Filed under: uncultured bacterium
Lineage: Bacteria
Description: partial 16S ribosomal RNA
Rfam family: Bacterial small subunit ribosomal RNA
Source: RNAcentral
GAUGAACGCUGGCGGCGUGCUUAACACAUGCAAGUCGAACGAUGAGGCCCAGCUUGCCGGGUGGAUUAGUGGCGAACGGGUGAGUAACACGUGAGUAACCUGCCCUUAGCUCUGGGAUAAGCCUGGGAAACUGGGUCUAAUACCGGAUAGGAGCGUCCACCGCAUGGUGGGUGUUGGAAAGAUUUAUCGGUUUUGGAUGGACUCGCGGCCUAUCAGCUUGUUGGUGAGGUAAUGGCUCACCAAGGCGACGACGGGUAGCCGGCCUGAGAGGGUGACCGGCCACACUGGGACUGAGACACGGCCCAGACUCCUACGGGAGGCAGCAGUGGGGAAUAUUGCACAAUGGGCGCAAGCCUGAUGCAGCGACGCCGCGUGAGGGAUGACGGCCUUCGGGUUGUAAACCUCUUUCAGUAGGGAAGAAGCGAAAGUGACGGUACCUGCAGAAGAAGCACCGGCUAACUACGUG